GUCCGGGUCCUGCGCAACAGGAACCCAUGAACCCUGUCAGGUCCGGAAGGAAGCAGCAGUAAGUGGUCAUUCUUGUGUGCCGCAGGGAAACCUGGGCUGA
RNAcentral lists this signal recognition particle RNA (100 nucleotides) under Oceanobacillus oncorhynchi. Its description in RNAcentral is "Bacteria_small_SRP". It matches the Rfam family "Bacterial small signal recognition particle RNA". Rfam says of the family: The signal recognition particle (SRP) is a universally conserved ribonucleoprotein involved in the co-translational targeting of proteins to membranes. The record is from RNAcentral. Lineage: Bacteria; Bacillati; Bacillota; Bacilli; Caryophanales; Bacillaceae.